RNAcentral lists this ribosomal RNA (255 nucleotides) under Escherichia coli. RNAcentral describes it as "partial 16S ribosomal RNA". It matches the Rfam family "Bacterial small subunit ribosomal RNA", at positions 711 to 965 of the family's 1533-position model. The record is from RNAcentral. Lineage: Bacteria; Pseudomonadati; Pseudomonadota; Gammaproteobacteria; Enterobacterales; Enterobacteriaceae. RNAcentral also lists the same sequence under 1 other name.
GGUGGCGAAGGCGGCCCCCUGGACGAAGACUGACGCUCAGGUGCGAAAGCGUGGGGAGCAAACAGGAUUAGAUACCCUGGUAGUCCACGCCGUAAACGAUGUCGACUUGGAGGUUGUGCCCUUGAGGCGUGGCUUCCGGAGCUAACGCGUUAAGUCGACCGCCUGGGGAGUACGGCCGCAAGGUUAAAACUCAAAUGAAUUGACGGGGGCCCGCACAAGCGGUGGAGCAUGUGGUUUAAUUCGAUGCAACGCGAA